RNAcentral lists this unclassified non-coding RNA (23 nucleotides) under Mus musculus (house mouse). Its description in RNAcentral is "oocyte_clustered_small_RNA12105". The record is from RNAcentral. Lineage: Eukaryota; Metazoa; Chordata; Mammalia; Rodentia; Muridae.
ACAAUGCAGGACAGGCAGCAGGU